UACGUAGGGGGCAAGCGUUGUCCGGAUUUAUUGGGCGUAAAGAGCGUGUAGGCGGCUAGAUAGGUCCGUUGUGAAAACUCGAGGCUCAACCUCGAGACGCCGAUGGAAACCAUCUAGCUAGAGUCCGGAAGAGGAGAAUGGAAUUCCUGGUGUAGCGGUGAAAUGCGCAGACUAUCAGGAAGAACACCCGUGGCUAAGGCGGUUCUCUAGUACGGUACUG
Molecule: ribosomal RNA, 220 nt
Filed under: uncultured bacterium
Lineage: Bacteria
Description: partial 16S ribosomal RNA
Rfam family: Bacterial small subunit ribosomal RNA
Source: RNAcentral